Molecule: transfer RNA, 73 nt
Filed under: Camelus bactrianus (Bactrian camel)
Lineage: Eukaryota; Metazoa; Chordata; Mammalia; Artiodactyla; Camelidae
Also listed under: 2 other names
Rfam family: tRNA
About the family: Transfer RNA (tRNA) molecules are approximately 80 nucleotides in length. Their secondary structure includes four short double-helical elements and three loops (D, anti-codon, and T loops).
Source: Rfam by way of RNAcentral
GUGGGUAUAGCUCAAGUGGUGGAGUGCAUGCUUAGCAUGCACAAGGUCCUGGGUUCAACCCCCAGUACUUCCU